GACGAACGCUGGCGGCGUGCCUCAUACAUGCAAGUUGAGCGCUGAAGGUUGGUACUUGUACCGACUGGAUGAGCAGCGAACGGGUGAGUAACGCGUGGGGAAUCUGCCUUUGAGCGGGGGACAACAUUUGGAAACGAAUGCUAAUACCGCAUAAAAACUUUAAACACAAGUUUUAAGUUUGAAAGAUGCAAUUGCAUCACUCAAAGAUGAUCCCGCGUUGUAUUAGCUAGUUGGUGAGGUAAAGGCUCACCAAGGCGAUGAUACAUAGCCGACCUGAGAGGGUGAUCGGCCACAUUGGGACUGAGACACGGCCCAAACUCCUACGGGAGGCAGCAGUAGGGAAUCUUCGGCAAUGGACGAAAGUCUGACCGAGCAACGCCGCGUGAGUGAAGAAGGUUUUCGGAUCGUAAAACUCUGUUGGUAGAGAAGAACGUUGGUGAGAGUGGAAAGCUCAUCAAGUGACGGUAACUACCCAGAAAGGGACGGCUAACUACGUG
Molecule: ribosomal RNA, 497 nt
Filed under: uncultured bacterium
Lineage: Bacteria
Description: partial 16S ribosomal RNA
Rfam family: Bacterial small subunit ribosomal RNA
Source: RNAcentral